This 70-nucleotide transfer RNA is filed under the name Pseudohynobius puxiongensis (Puxiong's protohynobiid). RNAcentral describes it as "tRNA-Lys". It matches the Rfam family "tRNA". From Rfam's summary of the family: Transfer RNA (tRNA) molecules are approximately 80 nucleotides in length. Their secondary structure includes four short double-helical elements and three loops (D, anti-codon, and T loops). Lineage: Eukaryota; Metazoa; Chordata; Amphibia; Caudata; Hynobiidae. The record is from RNAcentral.
CAUUAAGAAGCUUUCAAACUAAGCAAUAGCCUUUUAAGCUGUAGAUCGGUGAUUUAUCCACCCUUAAUGA